This is a long non-coding RNA of Cavia porcellus (domestic guinea pig), 1732 nucleotides long. RefSeq lists it as uncharacterized. The record is from RefSeq and is a predicted model, not a curated record. The transcript has 2 exons. Lineage: Eukaryota; Metazoa; Chordata; Mammalia; Rodentia; Caviidae.
AGAAAACACGAUGCUAAAACAUCAGCAUUUAUCAGGUUGGCACAGACUGUCUGAACAUAAGUGACAGACCUAAAAACAUUUCAAAAUACCCUUCUCCACAUUUAAAUCUUCAAAACCUCACUGACAAGCCUUACAUCCAUCAUGCUAUCAAGUGAUUUUUGCCAUACACUAAGUCAAGUCACAGAGCACCACCUUUUUUUUUCAAAUAAGAAAAGGGAAACGUGAUUUAUGCUGCUCUCAGCAGUGAAAGGGUUCGCGUAUUUGUGAGCACCGAAUCUCUCCACGCCCUCCGGGAGGCCCACAGAGCAUCGCAGCCGCCCGGCUGGAGGCCGAGGGCGGCACAAAGGCGGCGGCAGCUCAGGCCGGCCUCCGCCGCCGCCCAGCGCCGUCCUCUGCGCCAGCACCCACCUCGGUACCGCUCCAGCACGUCCUCGUAGGCCUGGAGGUACUCCUGCUCCUCCGCGCACAGUGUCACCAGCUCUCCCUUUCAACAGACAAGGAGGCACGCCUGAGUGACUCAGCACUUUGGGGACCCAAGGAGGGCAGGAGUAUGGGAGCCAGGGCCAAAUCCACCUCUGCUGCUCUGCGGGCUCCCAAGCGGACUGCAACCCCUCCUCCUCCUUCCUGCUCCACCCACCUCUUCAAAGACCCAGAGGCCAGCCAGCAUCUCACAGCAGAAGCCUGAAGAAGCUCAAGGCUGUUGCCCAGAAACCCAGUCUAGAGGAUGACUGGCUGUUUGUUUUUCUGUAAAUCACAAAUCCCUCUAGGGGAAUUUUAAGGGGGUUGUUCACAGCCAGGGUGGCUGUAAUUUAGGCUGGUGCCCUCCAGUGCCCCUUGGAGGAAGAAAAAGCCUCAACUCUGCAUUAUUGAGGGAAGCAAAAGAAACUGAGACAGGAGUUAGAGUAGGGACUGGAGAGGGGAGGAGGUCCAGACCUCUGACUGCAGAAACAAACUAAAAACACCCACUGCUCUGGCCCUUCGCAAGAGAAUCUCUAAGGGCCUAAUCCAUCAGCCCUGUUACCAUUUCCAGGAGGGAAAUAAACUGUGGUGGGGAUAGAGGAAAGAGGACCCCACAGGCACUGCAGGGUUAAAGGGCUGAGUUCCACAGUGUUCUCAGCUUUCAUCUGGGUAAAACAAGCCAACACUUCUGGUUAGGCUUUUACAGCCAAUGCAAGGGGAUACCGGGUAACAGAACAGAAGCUCUGGGCCCUCCCAUGCAUUAAUUAAUCAGGAAUGCACAAUGGUAAACCCUCACAGGCCGUUGGACAGAUGAUGCCAGCAGAGAUGUACAUUACAAAAGAGAGACCAAGCUGCUGGACUCUAUGAUGCAAUCCCGUGUACCAAACACCAUGUAUUUAUUCAAGGUAAACUUGUGCAGCUCCAUGCCCUAAACAAAAAUGAAAAGGAAGCUGCUUUCUCUUGGCUUCCAACAAAUACUGGAGGAAUCACUAGGUUAGUGCUCUCCAGUAGCUGUGCAUGUAAAUAAGUGUUUCUAAAUAGUUCCACAAAUUUUAAAUAUAUCAAUUUAUCCAACCAGAAAACAGAGCCAAACAGCUUAGUCACCAGCAAGGAAACUGCUCUAGCGGUAAAAGGAGACAGAAGUAAACAUAGUCAUCUUCCUCCCCCCACCUGGAGGACAAAUCUCCACCUAGGGAAACUGCCCACCAAAAGGCCUCAGAAAAUACAGAAGUGGAUUUCCACGACUGUGGUCCCCACUUCAUCCCCUCCCCAA